Gadus morhua (Atlantic cod) is the source of this 1914-nucleotide long non-coding RNA. RefSeq lists it as uncharacterized. The record is from RefSeq and is a predicted model, not a curated record. Lineage: Eukaryota; Metazoa; Chordata; Actinopteri; Gadiformes; Gadidae. The transcript is spliced from 5 exons.
AUGGCGGAGAAUAUGGAGAAGACGCACAACUGUAAGCUAUUAUCUAUAAGCUAUUAAUUGUAAGCUAUUAUAUUAUUAUAUUGUUUCACGAAUAUCGGUAUUUAUUAUUUUUAACGUUUUUAUUAGGCUAUCAUUGAAUUCUCCAACCUGUCAAAUCCUACUUGUUUUUCUCGGACGAUUUCACUUUUUCGGAGCGGGACAGCUAGCUGUACCUCGACAGGACUUGAUAUGAUGGCCUUUAUUAUGCAUUCGAUUAAUAUAGGCUUACACGUUCUAUUUUAUCAAGGGACAAUUGAAGAAACAAGGGCCCUCAUCGAAAGGCGGCGGCAAAUGAAGCUCUGUUCACUGGCCUCCGCCACUCCUCUGCUACGGGAUGGGAGGACUUCAGUUCCACUUCUGGCCGGGAUAUUUCCACCAAACAGGCCAUGAAGAAGUGGAACAAUCUGAAGCUCAAGUACAAAUCGCUUAGGGACCCACCCACAGGCAGAGGGGUAGAGGCCGGUACAGCUACUGCCGCCACCUGGCAGUGGUAUGGUGCCAUGGAUGCUGCACUCCAGGGACAUCACUCCAUCUGUCCGCCCCUGGUUGUUGCAUCCAACAUGACUGCCGCUACAGGUGGGGUAGUAAGCACACCGGCUUCUACCGCUUCUGCUGAGGAGGCCGGGGGAAGCAGCAGCAGAAAGAGACCCAGGGACAGUCUGCUGGAGCUUUUGAGGGAGCAGGGAGAAAGGGACGAGGAGAGAGAGAGAGAGGCAGUGGCGAGAGAGGCGGAGAGGGAGAGGGCGGCAGCAGUCGGGGCUGAACGGCAAACAUCCAGUCCUGCAGGAGCAGAAACAUGGGCAGCAAUCCUCGCCCGCCGUGACGCAUUGCCUGACAGGUCCCUGUCAUCUGCCUCCACGGUGUCACCUGGUCCCUCCUCCUCCUCCUCCUCCAAGAUAUCCCCUGCUGCCAUGCAAAUGUUGUGCAGGAUGCAGCAGGCACCUACCACCUGGGGGGCCAACAGAGACCGGAUCUCCAGAUACCGCUGGGAGAUGGCCCGCCAGCGGGUUUUGAGGAUCCCGAAAGACCUCUCCACAAUGUUACGCCCUUUAGCGUACUGUAUUGUAUCUGUGCCUAUUGUAUCUGGCUUCAACCUGACCUGGUAAUCAAAAAUCACAUGGAUGUAUCAGUGUCACCAAACUAACAAUUUGUUUCUGUGCAUGUGUGACAGGAGAGAAGGAGCUUACCGGCUACAGUGUGGCGGUAUGGCGUCAUGAUGGCCACAGGACGCUGCAGGCAUGGGUACCCUCCAUCACCCAGCAAGAAGUACCCAGCUGGUGGCAAAGCUUUCAUGUGGCAUCCAUCAAUGGUCCCAGCAGCACAUCUGAAGGCCUCGUGACCUGCAAGGCGAGCAAAGCCAGCCCCCACCGCCUCCAUCUCCUCUGCCUUGGGGAAAUGAAUCACCCUGUGGAGGAUGGCCGUCAUCUCCUCCACCACGCCAUGGACCGUCCUGCAAACUGUGGACAGGGGCAUCCCGAAGGCAUCUGCCGUUGCCCUGUACGAUGCUCCACAGGCCAGCCAGUACACUGCCACCAGCCCCUCCACCUCAUGGCUGCUCCAUUCAUGGACUUUUUGCCGGGGCAGCAAGGCCGGUUGAAGCUCUCCCUGGAGAGCCUGAAGGCUGGCUUCAGGUCCCCUCCAGAGAAAAACACGGCUAGGAUGGGCACAGUGAUGUUCAGCUGUGUGUACAGCUGUGAGCUGCUUUGGUCCUGGUACCAAACAAAGAAAAUAAAUAUAUUUUUACAUGCCAAUGGUUAAGUUCAUAUAUUUUUAGAUUUAUUGCUUAUUUGUGUAUUUUAAUGUACAAUAAAUUGCAAUUAUGUAUUUAAUAUGUAUUGUAUGCUGUAUACCAGAAUUAAAAAACAAUUUAACAUU